RNAcentral lists this ribosomal RNA (497 nucleotides) under uncultured bacterium. Its description in RNAcentral is "partial 16S ribosomal RNA". It matches the Rfam family "Bacterial small subunit ribosomal RNA", at positions 28 to 507 of the family's 1533-position model. The record is from RNAcentral.
GAUGAACGCUGGCGGCGUGCCUAAUACAUGCAAGUCGAGCGAACAGACGAGGAGCUUGCUCCUCUGACGUUAGCGGCGGACGGGUGAGUAACACGUGGAUAACCUACCUAUAAGACUGGGAUAACUUCGGGAAACCGGAGCUAAUACCGGAUAAUAUAUUGAACCGCAUGGUUCAAUAGUGAAAGACGGUUUUGCUGUCACUUAUAGAUGGAUCCGCGCCGCAUUAGCUAGUUGGUAAGGUAACGGCUUACCAAGGCAACGAUGCGUAGCCGACCUGAGAGGGUGACCGGCCCCAGGAGAACUGAGCCACGGCCCAGCCUCCUGGGGGGGGCAGCAGUAGGGAUUCUUCAGCAGUGGGCGAAAGCCUGACGGACCACCCCCGCGUGAGUGAUGAAGUUUUUCGGAUCUAAAAACUUUUUUAUUGGGGAAAAACAAAUUUGUAAUUAACUGUGCCCGUCUUGACGGUACCUAAUCAAAAAGCCACGGCUAACUCCGUC